ACAAACACUUUUUUUGGGGGAGAAACAAGAAGUUGCGACCGGCCCGGUCGACUCCACUGGAACAACUGGACGCACUCACACCAAAGUCGGCUGGCGCUCGGUGGAGCCGAACAGGAGGAAGACGAAGGCGUCGAUGACCAAUAUGGAAGAGCACAGAAGGAAAGCGAUCCGCCAUUGACUCAGAGUUUGCUGGAGUGUGAUGGAAAUGAUUGUGUUAUUAUUAUAUUAUUCUUUCAAAACCAUAAAAACUCAUCGACUUGUUAUUUUUUUUACCUGGGCUUCCGUCAAUGAAGCAACCACCAGAGGCGCUAGCCAACUGUUAACGGAAGCCAAACCGCUAAUUAUUCCGUAGAUUGUCCCUGAGAAAUUCGGCGCCAUGUCCAAAUGGUUGAUGAGAAAACCGCUAUUAAAUGAUCAUUCCGUUUUUCUUU
Daphnia pulex (common water flea) is the source of this 431-nucleotide long non-coding RNA. RefSeq lists it as uncharacterized. The record is from RefSeq and is a predicted model, not a curated record. NCBI's taxonomy places the organism in Eukaryota, Metazoa, Arthropoda, Branchiopoda, Diplostraca, Daphniidae. The transcript has 2 exons.